GUGUCAGCAGCCGCGGUAAUACAGAGGGUGCGAGCGUUAAUCGGAAUUACUGGGCGUAAAGCGAACGUAGGUGGUUUUGCAAGUCGAGUGUGAAAGCCCCGGGCUCAACCUGGGAACUGCAUUCGAGACUGCAUUACUCGAGUAUGGGAGAGGGCAGCGGAAUUUCCGGUGUAGCGGUGAAAUGCGUAGAUAUCGGAAGGAACAUCAGUGGCGAAAGCGGCUGCCUGGCCCAAUACUGACACUCAAGUUCGAAAGCGUGGGGAGCAAACAGGAUUAGAUACCCUGGUAGUCC
RNAcentral lists this ribosomal RNA (292 nucleotides) under uncultured bacterium. RNAcentral's name for it is "partial 16S ribosomal RNA". It matches the Rfam family "Bacterial small subunit ribosomal RNA", at positions 505 to 796 of the family's 1533-position model. The record is from RNAcentral.